This 257-nucleotide unclassified non-coding RNA is filed under the name uncultured Ilyonectria. Its description in RNAcentral is "sequence contains ITS2". The stretch from base 1 to 52 matches the Rfam family "5.8S ribosomal RNA", at positions 103 to 154 of the family's 154-position model. Lineage: Eukaryota; Fungi; Ascomycota; Sordariomycetes; Hypocreales; Nectriaceae. The record is from RNAcentral.
AACGCACAUUGCGCCCGCCAGUAUUCUGGCGGGCAUGCCUGUCCGAGCGUCAUUUCAACCCUCAAGCCCCCGGGCUUGGUGUUGGAGAUCGGCGAGCCCUCCGGGGCGCGCCGUCUCCCAAAUAUAGUGGCGGUCCCGCUGUAGCUUCCUCUGCGUAGUAGCACACCUCGCACUGGGAAACAGCGUGGCCACGCCGUGAAACCCCCCACUUCUGAAAGGUUGACCUCGGAUCAGGUAGGAAUACCCGCUGAACUUAA